Molecule: long non-coding RNA, 2446 nt
Organism: Globicephala melas (long-finned pilot whale)
Lineage: Eukaryota; Metazoa; Chordata; Mammalia; Artiodactyla; Delphinidae
Source: RefSeq, a predicted model, not a curated record
GUGAGAGGCCCGCAUACCGCAAAAAAAAAAAAAAGAUCCAGGCCUUGGGAAAGAACACAAAAGGCUUUGUUCGAGUGACCAGCUGGACGCCUGAGCGGGGUUCCAGGACUCGGUGUGACCGUGGUGGACGCAAGGCUGCCCUGACCUCCUUCUAGGGGUGGCUGAGGCCGCCCUGACCUCCUUCUAGGGGUGGCUGAGACUCUGCACCACCAGCCAGCUUGUCUCCCUGCCAUCUGCUUCCUCCCCUCCUUCCCCAGGAGCCUUCCCGAGGCCACUCCCUGAAACCGUGUCAGGCUCUGCUCCGCGAGCUGACCUGGACGCGUGCUGUGCUGCCCACCUGCCCAGUGACCAGCCUGCUUCCUUUGUAUGGUGUGCCUCGCUCCAGGACGGCCUUCAGAGGGUGUGUGAGCAGAGGAAGCCUCAGUUGUUCGGAUGCUCUUCUGACCCCUAGACAGCGCCUCGCCCAAAGCUGAACCUACUACAGGCACAGCCCAGAGACCACCUACAAGACCCUUUGCUGCCACCUGCUGGAGAACUCUCAGAAUGAAUAUCCACUUUUGCCACCAAUCGUUGGAGGCCGUGAAGCCAUAACUGAGAUGCGCUACAGUGGAAAUGAGAAGCACUCCUCUGAAUCAGGAAGGUGCCGGUGCCUCCUCAGAGCGGGUGUUCUCGCGGUCAGGGAGCCCGUAAGUCUCCCCGCUCCUGCUGCCUGGCCUGGACCAAUCGUGAAGAAAGAAAGAGUCGGACUGAGGAGGACCAGGCGGCGGUCGUGAAACGAGCACCCAGAUGUAGACCCCGCCACGCCCUGGUUCCCUGGCGGGCCGCAAAGGCUGUCCGAGGGUGGCAAGCGCCGCCGGCCCAGAGAGGGUCAGGGCAAACCCGUGUUUGCACCGUCUCUGUCCAGUGGCCAGGUCAGGCCAUCGGAGAAGCCCCUGUCCUCCCCAGGAUGGUGGGGGGAGGCGCAUUUCCCAGCCUCUGCCCUCCUUUUCACCUUGGCCGUGGUCGCUCAGGGUGUGGCUGCCCCUGGGGGGGGGGAGUGGGCGCUCAAGACCCCAACCCGUCAGCCCACUCCCCUCUUUGCAGGGCCCUUGUCCAGCACUCACGGCCCCGUGGUGCCCCCUGGGAACCCCCCGGCUCUGAAAUGUAUCAGGGUGGGACACGGGUGAAAGCAGCUGGGAUUCUGGCAGGUCUGCUCGCGGUCUGGCUUCCGUCAGGAGUCUCAGGGUGGCAACUGUGUCCCAUGCAGACGUUCCCACCUGCUACCCGUCCGUGCUCACUGGCUGGAGCGUCUCUGCAGAAAGAAACUCCUGUCUCCUACUGUUUGGUUACCCAGUGUCCCUGUCUGUGUAGCAAAAGCAGGAUAAAUGCUUGAUUCUUUUUUUUUUUUUUCAAUUUAAUAAUUCUCCAAAUCUUGGAUACUUAAGUCGCUUCCAAUUUUUCACAAUUAUUCCCUUCUUUCCUUUUUUUGCUAUUGAGGUAGAAUACACAUGCCGUAAAAGUUAUCACCUGAGCCAUUUCUUGAAGAGUACAGUUCAGUGGCAUUAGGUGCAUUCGUGACCAUAACCCUUCAUCUUGUAAACAGAAACAGUACCCAUGGAACCACAACUGUCCCCCUGCCCCCAGCCCUGGCACCACCCUUCUACUUUCUGUCUCUAUAAUUUUGACGACUCCAGGUGCCUCAUAUGAGUGGAACCCUGCAGUCUUGUCUUUUUGAGACUGGCUGACCUCACUGAGCAGUUUGUCGUCCAGUUUCAUCCAUGGUGGUAGCACAUGUCAUAACUGCCUUCCUCUUUAAGGCUGAAUAAUGUCCCAUCGUAUGUACAGACCACAGUUUGCUUAUUGACACAUCCAUCCGUGGACACUUGGGUUGCUCCCAUGUUUCAGCUAUUCUGAAUAAUGCUGCAUUGAACAUGGGUGUACAAAUAUCUAUUCGAGUCCUUGCUUUCAAUUGUUUUGUGUAUACACCUGGAAGUGGAAUUGCUGGAUCACGUGGUGAUUAUAUUUUUAACUUUUUGAGGACCCUCCAUACUGUUUCCGCAGCAGUUGUACCAUUUUACAUUCGCACCAACAGGGCACAAGGGUUCCAUUCCUCCACACCCUCACCAGCACUUGUUAUUUUCGGUUUUCUCAUAGUAGCCGUGCAGACGGAUGUGAGGAGGCAUCUCGCUGUAGUUUUGAUUUGCAUUUCGCUAACGAUUAGUGGUGUUGAGCACACUUUUGUGCACUUAGUGGCCAUUUGAAUGUCUUCUUUGGAGAAAUGUCUAUUCAAGUCCUUUGCCCAUUAUUGAAUUGGGUUGUUUGUUUUGUAGUUGUUGAGUUUUAGGAAUUCUCUAUAAAUUCUGAAUAAUAAUCAGGUAUAUGAUUUGCAAAUGUUUUCUCCCAUUCUGCGGGUUGCCUUUUUACUCUGAGGACAGUGUCUUUGGAUAAACAAAAUUUUCAAAUUUUC